GACGAACGCUGGCGGCGUGCUUAACACAUGCAAGUCGAACGGAAAGGCCCUGCUUUUGUGGGGUGCUCGAGUGGCGAACGGGUGAGUAACACGUGAGUAACCUGCCCUUGACUUUGGGAUAACUUCAGGAAACUGGGGCUAAUACCGGAUAGGAGCUCCUGCUGCAUGGUGGGGGUUGGAAAGUUUCGGCGGUUGGGGAUGGACUCGCGGCUUAUCAGCUUGUUGGUGGGGUAGUGGCUUACCAAGGCUUUGACGGGUAGCCGGCCUGAGAGGGUGACCGGCCACAUGGGGACUGAGAUACGGCCCAGACUCCUACGGGAGGCAGCAGGGGGGAGUAUUGCACAAUGGGCGGAAGCCUGAUGCAGCAACGCCGCGUGCGGGAUGACGGCCUUCGGGUUGUAAACCGCUUUCGCCUGUGACGAAGCGUGAGUGACGGUAAUGGGUAAAGAAGCACCGGCUAACUACGUG
RNAcentral lists this ribosomal RNA (468 nucleotides) under uncultured bacterium. RNAcentral's name for it is "partial 16S ribosomal RNA". It matches the Rfam family "Bacterial small subunit ribosomal RNA", at positions 28 to 507 of the family's 1533-position model. The record is from RNAcentral.